RNAcentral lists this ribosomal RNA (440 nucleotides) under uncultured bacterium. RNAcentral describes it as "partial 16S ribosomal RNA". It matches the Rfam family "Bacterial small subunit ribosomal RNA", at positions 338 to 795 of the family's 1533-position model. The record is from RNAcentral.
CCUACGGGGGGCAGCAGUGGGGAAUAUUGCACAAUGGGGGAAACCCUGAUGCAGCGACGCCGCGUGAGUGAAGAAGUAUUUCGGUACGUAAAGCUCUAUCAGCAGGGAAGAAAAUGACGGUACCUGACUAAGAAGCCCCGGCUAACUACGUGCCAGCAGCCGCGGUAAUACGUAGGGGGCAAGCGUUAUCCGGAUUUACUGGGUGUAAAGGGAGCGUAGACGGCAGCGCAAGUCUGGUGUGAAAUCCCAUGGCUUAACCAUGGAACUGCUUUGGAAACUGUGCAGCUAGAGUGCAGGAGAGGUAAGCGGAAUUCCUAGUGUAGCGGUGAAAUGCGUAGAUAUUAGGAGGAACACCAGUGGCGAAGGCGGCUUACUGGACUGUAACUGACGUUGAGGCUCGAAAGCGUGGGGAGCAAACAGGAUUAGAUACCCCUGUAGUC